This 218-nucleotide non-coding RNA is filed under the name Schnuerera ultunensis. Its description in RNAcentral is "Clostridium ultunense T-box sequence". It matches the Rfam family "T-box leader". Rfam says of the family: Uncharged tRNA acts as the effector for transcription antitermination of genes in the T-box leader family. T-boxes are found upstream of many aminoacyl-tRNA synthetase genes and some amino acid biosynthetic genes usually in Gram-positive bacteria. Lineage: Bacteria; Bacillati; Bacillota; Tissierellia; Tissierellales; Tepidimicrobiaceae. The record is from RNAcentral.
AUUCAGACGAUGAUAGGGGAAGUAGGGGAAAGACCAGGCAGAGAGAGGCGGUGGUCGGUGAAAACCGCACCGGUCUUUUUUCCGAAAAUCCACCCUGGAGUAGAUCAGGGGGCGUCGGUAGGCGUGAACCUGAUCCGGAGAGUCCGUUAUCCUUUAGAAGCAGGGCCGUAUCGGGCGGCCAAUUUGGGUGGCAACGCGGGUGUACUCUCGUCCCAUGG